Molecule: transfer RNA, 73 nt
Filed under: Paramuricea clavata
Lineage: Eukaryota; Metazoa; Cnidaria; Anthozoa; Malacalcyonacea; Plexauridae
Rfam family: tRNA
About the family: Transfer RNA (tRNA) molecules are approximately 80 nucleotides in length.
Source: Rfam by way of RNAcentral
GCCCGGUUAGCUCAGUUGGUAGAGCAUCACACUUUUAAUCUGAGGGCCAUGGGUUCGAGUCCCAUAUCGGGCU